RNAcentral lists this ribosomal RNA (450 nucleotides) under uncultured bacterium. Its description in RNAcentral is "partial 16S ribosomal RNA". It matches the Rfam family "Bacterial small subunit ribosomal RNA", at positions 354 to 796 of the family's 1533-position model. The record is from RNAcentral.
GUGGGGAAUAUUGCGCAAUGGGCGAAAGCCUGACGCAGCGACGCCGCGUGAGGGAUGAAGGUUUUCGGAUCGUAAACCUCUGUCAGAAGGGAAGAAACUACAUUGUGCUAAUCAGCAGUGUACUGACGGUACCUUCAAAGGAAGCACCGGCUAACUCCGUGCCAGCAGCCGCGGUAAUACGGAGGGUGCAAGCGUUAAUCGGAAUUACUGGGCGUAAAGCGCACGUAGGCUGUAGUGUAAGUCAGGGGUGAAAUCCCACGGCUCAACCGUGGAACUGCCUUUGAUACUGCACAACUUGAAUCCGGGAGAGGGUGGCGGAAUUCCUGGUGUAGGAGUGAAAUCCGUAGAUAUCAGGAGGAACACCGGUGGCGAAGGCGGCUACCUGGACCGAUAUUGACGCUGAGACGCGAAAGCGUGGGUAGCAAACAGGAUUAGAUACCCCAGUAGUCC